RNAcentral lists this ribosomal RNA (223 nucleotides) under Bacteroides fragilis. RNAcentral describes it as "partial 23S ribosomal RNA". It matches the Rfam family "Bacterial large subunit ribosomal RNA", at positions 331 to 554 of the family's 2925-position model. Lineage: Bacteria; Pseudomonadati; Bacteroidota; Bacteroidia; Bacteroidales; Bacteroidaceae. The record is from RNAcentral.
AGAAGAAACGACUGGAAAGUCGUGCCAUAGACGGUGAUAGCCCGGUAUUCUAAGGUAACCGAAGCGUAGUGGUAUCCUGAGUAGCGCGGAGCACGAGGAAUUCUGCGUGAACCAGCCGGGACCAUCCGGUAAGGCUAAAUACUCCCGAGAGACCGAUAGCGAACCAGUACUGUGAAGGAAAGGUGAAAAGCACUUCGAAUAGAAGAGUGAAAUAGUCCCUGAA